RNAcentral lists this ribosomal RNA (253 nucleotides) under uncultured bacterium. RNAcentral's name for it is "partial 16S ribosomal RNA". It matches the Rfam family "Bacterial small subunit ribosomal RNA", at positions 524 to 776 of the family's 1533-position model. The record is from RNAcentral.
UACGUAGGUGGCGAGCGUUGUCCGGAUUUACUGGGCGUAAAGGGCGUGCAGGCGGUUUGCUAAGUCUAGGGUGAAAGCUCCCGGCUCAACUGGGAGAGGUCCUUGGAUACUGACAGACUUGAGGGAGGCAGAGGAGAAUGGAAUUCCCGGUGUAGUGGUGAUAUGCGUAGAUAUCGGGAGGAACACCAGUGGCGAAGGCGGUUCUCUGGGCCUUACCUGACGCUGAGACGCGAAAGCGUGGGGAGCGAACCGG